ACUCAGGAUCUGCUCUCCGGCAAAGUAGUAAGUGAGGUGUGCUGAGAGCAGAAUGAGCUACUUUGUGGAUUCUGCUGGGAGCAGCCCCGUCCCUUACUCAGCGGCUCGUCCUGCAGUGGUGUGAAAUACGGACAGAUAAGUUUAUUUUAGUUAUUUUUUCUUUUUCUUUUUUUUUUUUCUGUCACUCAGGCUGGAGUGCAGUGGCACAAUCUUGGCUCACUCCAACCUCUAUCUUCUGGGUUCAAGCAAUUCACCUGCCUUAGCCUCCCAAGUAGCUGGGAUUACAGACCUGCACCACCACGCCUGGCUAAUUUUUGUAUUUUUAGUAGAGAAGGGGUUUCACCAUGUUGGCCAGGCUGGUCUCGAACUCAUGACCUCAAGUGAUCUUUCUUUGAGAUGGUCUCGCUCUGUUGCCCAGGCUGGAGUGCAGUGGUUUGAUCUCUGCUCACUGCAACAUGUGCCUCCCUGGUUCAAGCGAUUCUCCUGCCUCAGCCUCCCAAGUGGCUGGGAUUACAGGUGCCCACCACCACGCCCAACUAAUUUUUUGUAUUUUUAGUAGAGACAGAGUUUCACCAUGUUGGCCAGGCUGGUCUCAAACUCCUGACCUCGGGUGACCCAUCCACCUCG
Molecule: small RNA, 627 nt
Filed under: Pan troglodytes (chimpanzee)
Lineage: Eukaryota; Metazoa; Chordata; Mammalia; Primates; Hominidae
Description: processed transcript
Source: RNAcentral